This 163-nucleotide microRNA precursor is filed under the name Citrus sinensis (sweet orange). RNAcentral's name for it is "miR3947 stem-loop (csi-MIR3947)". Lineage: Eukaryota; Viridiplantae; Streptophyta; Magnoliopsida; Sapindales; Rutaceae. The record is from miRBase by way of RNAcentral.
AAUUAGAUUCAAGGUUUUUAAGUUUUGUUAUCACUUCUUACUAUUAAAAAUAACAAAUGAUGAGAUAUGUUAUGCUACUGUGAAUUAAAUGUACUUUUUAAGACUUAAACUCUUAACUUCUUAUUUCAGUAGACGACGUCACAUGAUUAGAAUAUUCUUUUAU